RNAcentral lists this ribosomal RNA (472 nucleotides) under uncultured bacterium. Its description in RNAcentral is "bacterial SSU rRNA". It matches the Rfam family "Bacterial small subunit ribosomal RNA", at positions 355 to 825 of the family's 1533-position model. The record is from RNAcentral.
UCGAGGAUCUUCCGCAAUGCGCGCAAGCGUGACGGAGCGACGCCGCGUGGGUGAUGAAGGCCUUCGGGUCGUAAAACCCUGUUAGCUACAGUGAAUUGCGGGUGGUGAAUAGCCAUCCCGCUUGACGUAAGUAGCAAAGAAAGCACCGGCUAACUACGUGCCAGCAGCCGCGGUAAUACGGAGGGUGCAAGCGUUGUUCGGAAUUACUGGGCGUAAAGCGCGUGUAGGCGGCUAAUUAUGUCAGGUGUGAAAGCCCUCGGCCUAACCGAGGAAGUGCGCCUGAAACUGAUUAGCUUGAGUACGAGAGAGGAGGACGGAAUUCCCAGUGUAGAGGUGAAAUUCGUAGAUAUUGGGAGGAACACCGGUGGCGAAAGCGGUUCUCUGGAUCGAUACUGACGCUAAGACGCGAAAGCGUGGGGAGCAAACAGGAUUAGAUACCCCCGUAGUCCCUGAGCGGGCUGGCAAGGCGCAU